Molecule: transfer RNA, 72 nt
Filed under: Nostoc cycadae WK-1
Lineage: Bacteria; Bacillati; Cyanobacteriota; Cyanophyceae; Nostocales; Nostocaceae
Description: tRNA-Ser
Rfam family: tRNA
About the family: Transfer RNA (tRNA) molecules are approximately 80 nucleotides in length. Their secondary structure includes four short double-helical elements and three loops (D, anti-codon, and T loops). Further hydrogen bonds mediate the characteristic L-shaped molecular structure. tRNAs have two regions of fundamental functional importance: the anti-codon, which is responsible for specific mRNA codon recognition, and the 3' end, to which the tRNAs corresponding amino acid is attached (by aminoacyl-tRNA synthetases). tRNAs cope with the degeneracy of the genetic code in two manners: having more than one tRNA (with a specific anti-codon) for a particular amino acid; and 'wobble' base-pairing, i.e. permitting non-standard base-pairing at the 3rd anti-codon position.
Source: RNAcentral
UACAUACUAGCUCAAUAGUAGAGCGCUCGUCUUGAGAACGAUUAGUUGCAGGUGCGAUUCCUGCGUGUGUUA